RNAcentral lists this non-coding RNA (57 nucleotides) under Streptomyces yerevanensis. Its description in RNAcentral is "L17-Actino-Proteobacteria ribosomal protein leader". It matches the Rfam family "L17-Actino-Proteobacteria ribosomal protein leader". Lineage: Bacteria; Bacillati; Actinomycetota; Actinomycetes; Kitasatosporales; Streptomycetaceae. The record is from RNAcentral.
CCGACAGGCAGCCGCCUGCUCGGAUACUGACCUCGGUACCUAGUACGGCCGGGGCAG